CUACGGGACGCAGCAGUGGGGAAUAUUGCACAAUGGGCGCAAGCCUGACGCAGCAACGCCGCGUGAACGAUGAAGGCCCUUGGGUCGUAAAGUUCUGUCCUUGGGGAAGAAACAAAUGACGGUACCCAAGAAGAAAGCCCCGGCUAAUUACGUGCCAGCAGCCGCGGUAAUACGUAAGGGGCGAGCGUUAUCCGGAAUUAUUGGGCGUAAAGAGUAUGUAGGUGGUUUUUUAAGCGCGAGGUUUAAGGCAAUGGCUCAACCAUUGUUUGCCUUGCGAACUGGAAAACUUGAGUGCAGGAGAGGAAAGCGGAAUUCCUAGUGUAGCGGUGAAAUGCGUAGAUAUUAGGAGGAACACCAGUGGCGAAGGCGGCUUCCUGGACUGUAACUGACACUGAGAUACGAAAGCGUGGGGAGCAAACAGGAUUAGAUACCCUUGUAGUC
RNAcentral lists this ribosomal RNA (441 nucleotides) under uncultured bacterium. RNAcentral's name for it is "partial 16S ribosomal RNA". It matches the Rfam family "Bacterial small subunit ribosomal RNA", at positions 339 to 795 of the family's 1533-position model. The record is from RNAcentral.